GAAGUGAGUGGCGAACGGGUGAGUAACACGUGGGUAACCUGCCCAGAAGUAGGGGAUAACACCUGGAAACAGAUGCUAAUACCGUAUAACAGAGAAAACCGCAUGGUUUUCUUUUAAAAGAUGGCUCUGCUAUCACUUCUGGAUGGACCCGCGGCGUAUUAGCUAGUUGGUGAGGUAAAGGCUCACCAAGGCAGUGAUACGUAGCCGACCUGAGAGGGUAAUCGGCCACAUUGGGACUGAGACACGGCCCAGACUCCUACGGGAGGCAGCAGUAGGGAAUCUUCCACAAUGGACGCAAGUCUGAUGGAGCAACGCCGCG
This 319-nucleotide ribosomal RNA is filed under the name Pediococcus pentosaceus. RNAcentral describes it as "bacterial SSU rRNA". It matches the Rfam family "Bacterial small subunit ribosomal RNA", at positions 88 to 401 of the family's 1533-position model. The record is from RNAcentral. Lineage: Bacteria; Bacillati; Bacillota; Bacilli; Lactobacillales; Lactobacillaceae.